This 352-nucleotide ribosomal RNA is filed under the name uncultured Babesia. RNAcentral describes it as "SSU rRNA". It matches the Rfam family "Eukaryotic small subunit ribosomal RNA", at positions 525 to 900 of the family's 1831-position model. The record is from RNAcentral. Lineage: Eukaryota; Apicomplexa; Aconoidasida; Piroplasmida; Babesiidae.
CNAAACCCUUCCCAGAGUAUCAAUUGGAGGGCAAGUCUGGUGCCAGCAGCCGCGGUAAUUCCAGCUCCAAUAGCGUAUAUUAAAGUUGUUGCAGUUAAGAAGCUCGUAGUUGAAUUUCUGCCUUGUCAUUAAUCUCGCUUCCGAGCGUUUUUUUAUUGACUUGGCAUCUUCUGGAUUUGGUGCCUUCGGGUACUAUUUUCCAGGAUUUACUUUGAGAAAACUAGAGUGUUUCAAACAGGCAUUCGCCUUGAAUACUACAGCAUGGAAUAAUGAAGUAGGACUUUGGUUCUAUUUUGUUGGUUAUUGAGCCAGAGUAAUGGUUAAUAGGAGCAGUUGGGGGCAUUCGUAUUUA